Molecule: ribosomal RNA, 334 nt
Filed under: uncultured Bacillota bacterium
Lineage: Bacteria; Bacillati; Bacillota
Description: bacterial SSU rRNA
Rfam family: Bacterial small subunit ribosomal RNA
Source: RNAcentral
GAUGAACGCUGGCGGCGUGCCUAACACAUGCAAGUCGAGCGGAGAUCUGCGAAGCAGUAAUGCGGAGCGGGUUUUAGCGGCGGACGGGUGAGUAACACGUGAGCAAUCUGCCUCUUGCUGGGGAAUAACAUUGUGAAAACAGUGCUAAUACCGCAUGACAUCCGACCGGGACAUCCCGGACGGAUCAAAGGAGCAAUCCGGCAGGAGAUGAGCUCGCGUCCGAUUAGCUGGUUGGUGAGGUAACGGCCCACCAAGGCGACGAUCGGUAGCCGAACUGAGAGGUUGAUCGGCCACAUUGGGACUGAGACACGGCCCAGACUCCUACGGGUGGCAG